UUGCAAGUCAUGGGGUGAAGAUUGGACGGUUCUGUUUUGCCAAAACAGUUGCCUCCAUGGUAACAGCAUGUGAUAUCCUUGGAAAAGUGAUCUGUAGGACUACUGAGUUGGAAGGAGGAGACGGGGCUGGAGCAGGAGACGGAGAGGGCAGGUUCCAGGCCGGCGCUGGAAGCAAACAACUUUCCUCUCUGAGCCAGUCACAGGAAGGAUGCAGCCAGGAAGACCAGUGAGGCUACCUUUCCACAGUACUGGGAACAUCUCCGCUGAAAACCCAUCAUGGUUCUGGGUCAAAAGCAGCACGGAAACAAGUGGAAUUGCCUGCAGACUCAUUCUGAAUAAAGGGUGGGUCCACAUGGAGAAGGCUGCAUCCAGAUGUGCUUGUGAUUGGCUCUGCUUCUAAAGUGUGGAUGCUAUUUUGAGAAGGCUGUUGUAGAUACAGUAUCUCCAGAUCUUACAUCUCAACUUUAAGCCCACUGGAAGAGUGAGAAUCUUUAUUGCAGCAUUCUCAGAAGAAAGUCUGAUUACCCAUCACUUACCAUCUCCUUACCAAUCACUUUGGCUUGGGCCAGCACCACAUGGAGCCCUACCAGAGGAGACAUGUGGUCUAUGAGUGAGGAUGAGCAUAGUUCCCCAGAAAGGAUGGAAUAGGCUUGUUAUUAGAAGGUUGAAUGGAUACAGGAGCACAAAAAGCACAGAUGCUCACCACGAAUGAAUUAGUCUGGGGACAAUAGAGAAGGCUCCUUUUUGGAAGACAUGAUAUCUUUGUGAUCUGAAGGAUGUGUAGAAGUUAGUUAUAUUUUAGAGAAGGUGAAGAGCAUUCCAUGUUGAGGGAACAACAUAUUAAAGGUUGCCUAGGAGCGUGGUAGGGAAGAACAUUGUAUGUUUCAGGCCAGCAUGAUCAAAAAAUGAUAAAGAGGGAGAGAGACGGGAGAGAGACAGGAGAGAGACAGGAGAGUAGGUUGGAGAUGUAAUAGGUAUCAGAUUGCAUCAGGUCUUGUAGGUCAUAGCAGAGCCUCUAUCCUUUUGGUUUUCAUCUAGCCAUAUGGAUCAAUGGACGGCAGACAAGGGACUAAAUGAAAAAAAAAAUUUGAGAUAACUUGCCUGAGUGACUGUCAUGUUCCACAGACAAUAUUUCAUUGCAAUCUGAGUGGUCUGCCCACUUUUUAAAAUGUGCUUGAUGUAGAUAUAUCUAAUAUUUCUUGAAAUCAGUGAUUCCUUAGCUGAGCAUUAGAAAUCAUUGUGCUCACCCGAGGUGUUUGAUAUAAUAGUACUUAGUGGGAGUAGGAUAUGACUGACAUAGUGAGAAAAGAUGUUAUCAUCAUUCUCUUUUGAUUUAGACUCACAUAUCCUUCAAAUAACUUUGCUAACAAUCUUUCAAUGGUUGGAACUGGACCACUUCUAAGCAAUAGUUAAUUAUUAAUAUUUAAAGAAGAAGAAUGAGUGUGCAAUGUCUCAGCACAGCCAUAAUUUCGUCAAACAUGAGGCGUAGGGGCUGAAUCACCGGCUGAGCCCUGGGGUCUAUGCUCCUUGGAUCUCAGAAGACAGGAACAUCUUAGAAAACAGAAGGCAAUAGAAACUUCAGCCAGGGGAUUGUCUUCAGAUUACCACCUCCUUUCACCUCACGAGUUUCCACAUUAUUAAGAGAUCAAAAGCUACUGUGGAAGGGGUGACCUGGUGGUGUAGUGGUUAAUCCGCUUUGGCAGCCCGGGG
Non-coding RNA from Equus caballus (horse), 1710 nucleotides. NCBI's taxonomy places the organism in Eukaryota, Metazoa, Chordata, Mammalia, Perissodactyla, Equidae. The record is from RefSeq and is a predicted model, not a curated record.